CGCCUUUAGAAAUUAAUUAUUAAAGGUCCGACCUGCCCAGUGAAUUACUUCAACGGCCGCGGUAACCUGACCGUGCUAAGGUAGCGCAAUCACUUGCCUUUUAAUUGAUGGCUAGUAUGAAUGGUCAGACGAGCGCUAAAUUGUCUCUUUUAAGUCAAUAAAAAUUAACCAUUAAGUGCAGAUGCUUAAAUAAACUAGAAGGACAAAAAGACCCUACUAAGCUUCAUAUUAAAUAGUUUAUCAAACUAUAUAAUUAUUUUGUUGGGGCAACAAAGGAACACAAUAUCUUCCUUUAACACUAAUAGCUUACACGCAUAAACCAAUUUAAUUUAUAAAGAAAAAAGCUACUAUAGGGAUAACAGACUAAUUUCUCCCGAGAGCCCAUAUUGACGGAGAAGCUUAGCACCUCGAUGUUGGCUUAAGGAAACUUUAAGAGGCAGCACUCUUAUUAGUAGGUUUGUUCAACCUUUAAUCCCUUACG
This 481-nucleotide ribosomal RNA is filed under the name Golfingia elongata. Its description in RNAcentral is "partial 16S ribosomal RNA". It matches the Rfam family "Bacterial large subunit ribosomal RNA", at positions 1819 to 2600 of the family's 2925-position model. Lineage: Eukaryota; Metazoa; Annelida; Sipuncula; Golfingiida; Golfingiidae. The record is from RNAcentral.